This 643-nucleotide ribosomal RNA is filed under the name uncultured Cellulosilyticum sp. RNAcentral's name for it is "bacterial SSU rRNA". It matches the Rfam family "Bacterial small subunit ribosomal RNA", at positions 897 to 1533 of the family's 1533-position model. The record is from RNAcentral. Lineage: Bacteria; Bacillati; Bacillota; Clostridia; Lachnospirales; Cellulosilyticaceae.
AAACUUAAAGGAAUUGACGGGGACCCGCACAAGCGGUGGAGCAUGUGGUUUAAUUCGAAGCAACGCGAAGAACCUUACCUAAACUUGACAUCCUUUUGACCGGUCUUUAAUCGGACCUUUCAGUGCUUGCACUGACAGAAGUGACAGGUGGUGCAUGGUUGUCGUCAGCUCGUGUCGUGAGAUGUUGGGUUAAGUCCCGCAACGAGCGCAACCCUUAUCCUUAGUAGCCAGCAUUAAGUUGGGCACUCUGGGGAGACUGCCAGGGAUAACCUGGAGGAAGGCGGGGAUGACGUCAAAUCAUCAUGCCCCUUAUGUUUAGGGCUACACACGUGCUACAAUGGCUGCUACAAAGGGAAGCGACCUCGCGAGAGUAAGCAAACCUCAAAAAAGCAGUCCCAGUUCGGAUUGUAGUCUGCAACUCGACUACAUGAAGUUGGAAUCGCUAGUAAUCGCGAAUCAGAAUGUCGCGGUGAAUACGUUCCCGGGUCUUGUACACACCGCCCGUCACACCAUGGGAGUUGGUGGGGCCCAAUGCCGGUGACCCAACCGUAAGGAGGGAGCCGUCUAAGGCAAAACCAAUAACUGGGGUGAAGUCGUAACAAGGUAGCCGUAUCGGAAGGUGCGGCUGGAUCACCUCCUUUAU